AACGAACGCUGGCGGCAUGCCUAACACAUGCAAGUCGAACGAGACCUUCGGGUCUAGUGGCGCACGGGUGCGUAACGCGUGGGAACCUGCCCUUAGGUUCGGAAUAACUCCCCGAAAGGGGUGCUAAUACCGGAUAAUGUCUUCGGACCAAAGAUUUAUCGCCUUUGGAUGGGCCCGCGUUGGAUUAGCUAGUUGGUAGGGUAAAAGCCUACCAAGGCGACGAUCCAUAGCUGGUCUGAGAGGAUGAUCAGCCACACUGGGACUGAGACACGGCCCAGACUCCUACGGGAGGCAGCAGUGGGGAAUAUUGGACAAUGGGCGAAAGCAUGAUCCAGCAAUGCCGCGUGAGUGAUGAAGGCCUUAGGGUUGUAAAGCUCUUUUACCCGGGAUGAUAAUGACAGUACCGGGAGAAUAAGCACCGGCUAACUCCGUG
RNAcentral lists this ribosomal RNA (433 nucleotides) under uncultured bacterium. RNAcentral's name for it is "partial 16S ribosomal RNA". It matches the Rfam family "Bacterial small subunit ribosomal RNA", at positions 29 to 507 of the family's 1533-position model. The record is from RNAcentral.